This 238-nucleotide ribosomal RNA is filed under the name uncultured bacterium. RNAcentral describes it as "partial 16S ribosomal RNA". It matches the Rfam family "Bacterial small subunit ribosomal RNA", at positions 15 to 235 of the family's 1533-position model. The record is from RNAcentral.
GAUCCUGGCUCAGGAUGAACGCUGGCGGCGUGCUUAACACAUGCAAGUCGAACGAAGCGCUUAAAUGGAUUUCUUCGGAUUGAAGUUUUUGUGACUGAGUGGCGGACGGGUGAGUAACGCGUGGGUAACCUGCCUCAUACAGGGGGAUAACAGUUAGAAAUGACUGCUAAUACCGCGUAAGCGCACAGUGCUGCAUGGCACAGUGUGAAAAACUCCGGUGGUAUGAGAUGGACCCGCG